GGCCUGGUGGUGUACCGGUAACACAUCCUCUCAAAAUGUGGUUUAGGGAUAAGAACUUUCCGAGGAGGUCCCUUGUUCGAAUCAAGGUCAGGCCC
Molecule: non-coding RNA, 95 nt
Organism: Mycena polygramma
Lineage: Eukaryota; Fungi; Basidiomycota; Agaricomycetes; Agaricales; Mycenaceae
Source: the annotation of a GenBank genome assembly